AGAGUUUGAUCAUGGCUCAGAUUGAACGCUGGCGGCAGGCCUAACACAUGCAAGUCGAACGGUAACAGGAUGUGCUUGCACAUCCCUGACGAGUGGCGGACGGGUGAGUAAUGCUUGGGAACUUGCCUUUGCGAGGGGGAUAACAGUUGGAAACGACUGCUAAUACCGCAUAAUGUCUUCGGACCAAACGGGGCUUAGGCUCCGGCGCAAAGAGAGGCCCAAGUGAGAUUAGCUACUUGGUAAGGUAACGGCUUACCAAGGCGACAAUCUCUAGCUGUUCUGAGAGGAAGAUCAGCCACCUGGGACUGAGACACCGCCC
Molecule: ribosomal RNA, 319 nt
Filed under: uncultured gamma proteobacterium DCM-ATT-8
Lineage: Bacteria; Pseudomonadati; Pseudomonadota; Gammaproteobacteria
Description: bacterial SSU rRNA
Rfam family: Bacterial small subunit ribosomal RNA
Source: RNAcentral